RNAcentral lists this ribosomal RNA (253 nucleotides) under uncultured bacterium. RNAcentral describes it as "partial 16S ribosomal RNA". It matches the Rfam family "Bacterial small subunit ribosomal RNA", at positions 524 to 776 of the family's 1533-position model. The record is from RNAcentral.
UACGUAGGGUGCGAGCGUUAAUCGGAAUUACUGGGCGUAAAGCGUGCGCAGGCGGUUUCGUAAGACAGGUGUGAAAUCCCCGGGCUUAACCUGGGAACUGCGCUUGUGACUGCGAGGCUGGAGUGCGGCAGAGGGAGGUGGAAUUCCACGUGUAGCAGUGAAAUGCGUAGAGAUGUGGAGGAACACCGAUGGCGAAGGCAGCCUCCUGGGCUAGCACUGACGCUCAUGCACGAAAGCGUGGGGAGCAAACAGG